This 1550-nucleotide ribosomal RNA is filed under the name human gut metagenome. Its description in RNAcentral is "bacterial LSU rRNA". It matches the Rfam family "Bacterial large subunit ribosomal RNA", at positions 826 to 2461 of the family's 2925-position model. The record is from RNAcentral.
AUUCCAAUCGAACUCGGAGAUAGCUGGUUCUCCCCGAAAUAGCUUUAGGGCUAGCCUCAUAUUAGAUACCCGGAGGUAAAGCACUGAAUGGCCUAGCGCCCGAGAGGGUAGCGAAGCCUAUCAAACUAAGAAUGCCGGAGUAUUGAUGUAUGGGAGUCAGACAGUGUGAGAUAAAUCUCAUUGUCAAAAGGGAAACAGCCCAGAUCUACAGCUAAGGUCCCAAAUUGUAUCUAAGUGGAAAACGAUGUGGAAAUACGCAGACAACCAGGAUGUUGGCUCAGAAGCAGCCACUCAUUUAAAGAGUGCGUAAUAGCUCACUGGUCGAGCGUCUCUGCGCGGAAAAUUUAACGGGGCUAAGAUACAAACCGAAGCUUAGGCUGCAUCGUAAGAUGCGGGGUAGGGGAGCGUUGUGUAAGCGGAGAAACAGUAGCGUAAGCGGCUGUGGAGUUUACAGAAGUGAGAAUGCCGGAAUGAGUAGCGCGAAUGUGGUGAGAAUCCACAUGGCCGGAAACCUCAGGUUUUUGGAGGAAGGUUCGUCCGCUCCAAGUUAGGCGGGAGCUAAGGUCAGGCCGAAAGGCGUAGCCGAUGCACAGACGGUAGAGAUUCCGUCCCCACCGAAAGAUUUAAGCACAGGGACACUUUUUGAAGGUCGGAGCCAGGUGUUGGUUCUGGUAGUGAUCGAGGGAAAUAUAGUACCGAAGUCCGGCUGGAAGAGAGGCGAGAAAAGCUGUGUGUAUAUCUAAGGUGCCCGUACCGCAAACCGACACAGGUAGGUAGGAAGAAGAUUCUAAGGCCAACGGGAGAAGGGUUGUUAAGGAACUCGGCAAGUUGACCCCGUAACUUCGGAAUAAGGGGUGCUCACGAGAGUGAGCCGCAGAGAAUAGGCCCAGGCAACUGUUUACCAAAAACACAGGUUUGUGCUAAAUCGAAAGAUGACGUAUACGAGCUGACGCCUGCCCGGUGCUGGAAGGUUAAAAGGAGAUGUGCAAGCAUUGAAUUGAAGCCCCAGUGAACGGCGGCCGUAACUAUAACGGUCCUAAGGUAGCGAAAUUCCUUGUCAGGUAAGUUCUGACCCGCAUGAAAGGCGUAAUGAUUUGGGCACUGUCUCAACAGCCCGCCCGGCGAAAUUGUAGUACCGGUGAAGAUGCCGGUUACCCGCGACAAGACGGAAAGACCCCAUGGAGCUUUACUGUAGCCUGAUAUUGGGUUUCGGUGUUGCAUGCACAGGAUAGAUGGGACGCUGGGAAAGAAGCGCUUUGGCGUUUCUGGAGCGGACGUUGGGAUACCAUCCUUGCGACAUUGGAAUUCUAACCUGCGCCUCUGAAUCGAGGCGGGGGACAUUGUCAGGUGGGCAGUUUGACUGGGGCGGUCGCCUCCUAAAAAGUAGCGGAGGCGUUCAAAGGUUCGUUCGAUCUGGACGGAAACCAGAUGAUUGAGUGCAAACGCAUAAACGAGCCUGACUGCGAGACUGACGGGUCGAGCAGAGACGAAAGUCGGAGUUAGUGAUCCGGUGGUAUGUGAGUGGAAAUGCCAUCGCUCAACGGAUAAAA